GAACGGAGCGCCGGACACGGACUAUUUCGGUAGGAAGCGUGCGGAGGCUUAGUGGCGGACGGGUGAGUAACGCGUGGAUAACCUGCCGCAUACCGGGGGAUAACAGCUGGAAACAGCUGCUAAUACCGCAUAUGCCCGCAGUGCCGCAUGGCACAGCGGGGAAAACUCCGGUGGUAUGCGAUGGGUCCGCGUCUGAUUAGGCAGUUGGCGGGGUAACGGCCCACCAAACCGACGAUCAGUAGCCGGCCUGAGAGGGCGGACGGCCACACUGGGACUGAGACACGGCCCAGACUCCUGCGGGAGGCAGCAGUGGGGAAUAUUGCACAAUGGGGGAAACCCUGAUGCAGCGACGCCGCGUGAAGGAAGAAGUUCUUCGGUCCGUAAACUUCUCUCAGCAGGGAAGAAAACAGAAAAAAACUUUUUUUGAAGCCCCGGCGGGGGCAAAAAAGCAGCCGCGGUAAUACGUAGGGGGCAAGCGUUAUCCGGAUUUACUGGGUGUAAAGGGGGCGCAGACGGCCAUGGCAAGCCCGGUGUGAAAGGCAGGGGCAUAACCCGUGGACUGCACUGGGAACUGUCAGGCUGGAGUGCCGGAGGGGUAAGCGGAAUUCCUGGUGUAGCGGUGAAAUGCGUAUUUUUCAAAAGGUUCCCCGGCGGCGNGGCGGCUUNCUGGNCGGCNNCUGNCGUUGNGGCCCGAAAGCGUGGGGCCCCUUUAGGGGNNNNNNCCNNNNNNNNCCNNNAANNNNNNGCCCUUGAUGGGNGNNGGNNNUCAAGGAUAUCCGGUGCCGAAGCAAACGCAUUAAGUAUACCACCUGGGGAGUACGUUCGCAAGAAUGAAACUCAAAGGAAUUGACGGGGACCCGCACAAGCGGUGGAGCAUGUGGUUUAAUUCGAAGCAACGCGAAGAACCUUACCAGGCCUUGACAUCCUGAUGGCGUAGGCGUAACGGCUUAUUCCCCUCGGGGCAUCAGAGACAGGUGGUGCAUGGUUGUCGUCAGCUCGUGUUGUGAGAUGUUGGGUUAAGUCCCGCAACGAGCGCAACCCUUAUUCCCAGUAGCCAGCAUUUUGGAUGGGCACUCUGGGGAGACUGCCGGGGAAGACCCGGAGGAAGGCGGGGAUGACGUCAAAUCAUCAUGCCCCUUAUGGCCUGGGCUACACACGUGCUACAAUGGCGCAUACAAAGGGAGGCAAAGGAGCGAUCUGAAGCAAAUCCCAGAAAAGGCGCCCCAGUUCGGAUUGCAGCCUGCAACUCGGCUGCAUGAAGCUGGAAUCGCUAGUAAUCG
RNAcentral lists this ribosomal RNA (1280 nucleotides) under uncultured bacterium. Its description in RNAcentral is "partial 16S ribosomal RNA". It matches the Rfam family "Bacterial small subunit ribosomal RNA", at positions 64 to 1344 of the family's 1533-position model. The record is from RNAcentral.